Non-coding RNA from Paramuricea clavata, 775 nucleotides. The record is from the annotation of a GenBank genome assembly. Lineage: Eukaryota; Metazoa; Cnidaria; Anthozoa; Malacalcyonacea; Plexauridae.
UUCAGAGCCUAACAAAUCAUUGAGCAUCAAGUACUCUUAUUCCAACGAAAGUGCACGUUCAGAAUGAAGAACCACUUCAACGCCCUGACCCUGUAUUUGUUAAUCAUCGCCACAUGCUACAUAAGCUACACCGAAGCAGCCACAUGCUCUCCUUUUAGCGGGCCAAAUGGAGCCACAGAAUGUGUCCAGCUGUCAGGGUACAACGACUACCAAUGGGCUACUUGUCGCACAAACUCGUACUUGGCACAAAAGUCGAACGGCAGGCACUACUGCAGAAUCAAAUCGGAUACAUAUUGCCUCUAUCAGUGUAUGUUGUAUAAGUAUGAAUUAGACAGAGGUGACGUUAAUAGUAGCUGCCGAUGCAGUUCUCCGAAUUCAGCGUCGCAAAAAGAAAUAUAUACUUUUGCAUAUGUUGUUCUUUUGGCCGCAGUCAGCUCUUUGUUGGUAUCAUAAAUCACUAUAAACUGACUUUUAGAGAGGACUUUUAGUAACCAAGUAACUUUCCAUAUGCCCUGAAGUGUUGUCACAAUAAUUUUGGUGCACACUAUUAGAUUAUAUUUUUAGAUUUUAGUACUUUAGUAUUAAGUUAGCAUUUUGGUUUUAUGCUUACGAUCAUCAGUGUGAUGAUUAAGAUUCUGUUAUAAUAACUGGGUUAUGAUCAGGGUUAAGGUUAGAAUAAGUAAUCACUAGUAUACAAUUAAUGGAUAAUCAUGUUUUAUAUCAUAAUAGUAAUACAGUAAAAGCACUUCAAUAAAAUGCUGGUAUAUAUAUACAG